AUUGAACGCUGGCGGCAGGCCUAACACAUGCAAGUCGAGCGCGAAAGGUCUUCGGACUGAGUAGAGCGGCGGACGGGUGAGUAACGCGUAGGAAUCUACCUAGUAGUGGGGGACAACCUGUGGAAACGCAGGCUAAUACCGCAUACGCCCUACGGGGGAAAGCGGGGGAUCUUCGGACCUCGUGCUAUUAGAUGAGCCUGCGUAAGAUUAGCUAGUUGGUGAGGUAAAGGCUCACCAAGGCGACGAUCUUUAGCUGGUCUGAGAGGAUGAUCAGUCACACUGGAACUGAGACACGGUCCAGACUCCUACGGGAGGCAGCAGUGGGGAAUAUUGCACAAUGGGGGAAACCCUGAUGCGGCCAUGCCGCGUGUGUGAAGAAGGCUCUAGGGUUGUAAAGCACUUUCAGCGGGGAGGAAAGGUUGUAAUUUAAUAGAUUGCAGCUGUGACGUUACCCGCAGAAGAAGCACCGGCUAACCCCGUGCCAGCAGCCGCGGUAAUACGGAGGGUGCAAGCGUUAAUCGGAAUUACUGGGCGUAAAGCGCGCGUAGGCGGAUGCUUAAGUCGGAUGUGAAAGCCCCGGGCUCAACCUGGGAACUGCAU
Molecule: ribosomal RNA, 600 nt
Filed under: uncultured bacterium
Lineage: Bacteria
Description: bacterial SSU rRNA
Rfam family: Bacterial small subunit ribosomal RNA
Source: RNAcentral